GAUGAACGCUGGCGGCGUGCCUAAUACAUGCAAGUCGAGCGAACGGACGAGAAGCUUGCUUCUCUGAUGUUAGCGGCGGACGGGUGAGUAACACGUGGAUAACCUACCUAUAAGACUGGGAUAACUUCGGGAAACCGGAGCUAAUACCGGAUAAUAUUUUGAACCGCAUGGUUCAAAAGUGAAAGACGGUCUUGCUGUCACUUAUAGAUGGAUCCGCGCUGCAUUAGCUAGUUGGUAAGGUAACGGCUUACCAAGGCAACGAUGCAUAGCCGACCUGAGAGGGUGAUCGGCCACACUGGAACUGAGACACGGUCCAGACUCCUACGGGAGGCAGCAGUAGGGAAUCUUCCGCAAUGGGCGAAAGCCUGACGGAGCAACGCCGCGUGAGUGAUGAAGGUCUUCGGAUCGUAAAACUCUGUUAUUAGGGAAGAACAUAUGUGUAAGUAACUGUGCACAUCUUGACGGUACCUAAUCAGAAAGCCACGGCUAACUACGUGCCAGCAGCCGCGGUAAUACGUAGGUGGCAAGCGUUAUCCGGAAUUAUUGGGCGUAAAGCGCGCGUAGGCGGUUUUUUAGUCUGAUGUGAAAGCCCACGGCUCAACCGUGGAGGGUCAUUGGAAACUGGAAAACUUGAGUGCAGAAGAGGAAAGUGGAAUUCCAUGUGUAGCGGUGAAAUGCGCAGAGAUAUGGAGGAACACCAGUGGCGAAGGCGACUUUCUGGUCUGUAACUGACGCUGAUGUGCGAAAGCGUGGGGAUCAAACAGGAUUAGAUACCCUGGUAGUCCACGCCGUAAACGAUGAGUGCUAAGUGUUAGGGGGUUUCCGCCCCUUAGUGCUGCAGCUAACGCAUUAAGCACUCCACCUGGGGAGUACGACCGCAAGGUUGAAACUCAAAGGAAUUGACGGGGACCCGCACAAGCGGUGGAGCAUGUGGUUUAAUUCGAAGCAACGCGAAGAACCUUACCAAAUCUUGACAUCCUUUGACAACUCUAGAGAUAGAGCCUUCCCCUUCGGGGGACAAAGUGACAGGUGGUGCAUGGUUGUCGUCAGCUCGUGUCGUGAGAUGUUGGGUUAAGUCCCGCAACGAGCGCAACCCUUAAGCUUAGUUGCCAUCAUUAAGUUGGGCACUCUAAGUUGACUGCCGGUGACAAACCGGAGGAAGGUGGGGAUGACGUCAAAUCAUCAUGCCCCUUAUGAUUUGGGCUACACACGUGCUACAAUGGACAAUACAAAGGGCAGCGAAACCGCGAGGUCAAGCAAAUCCCAUAAAGUUGUUCUCAGUUCGGAUUGUAGUCUGCAACUCGACUACAUGAAGCUGGAAUCGCUAGUAAUCGUAGAUCAGCAUGCUACGGUGAAUACGUUCCCGGGUCU
This 1371-nucleotide ribosomal RNA is filed under the name uncultured bacterium. RNAcentral describes it as "bacterial SSU rRNA". It matches the Rfam family "Bacterial small subunit ribosomal RNA", at positions 28 to 1381 of the family's 1533-position model. The record is from RNAcentral.